This 403-nucleotide unclassified non-coding RNA is filed under the name Hevea brasiliensis (rubber tree). The record is from RNAcentral. Lineage: Eukaryota; Viridiplantae; Streptophyta; Magnoliopsida; Malpighiales; Euphorbiaceae.
GUAGCUUUCUUUAUUUAUAGUUAUAUUAUUUUAGGGAAGCUGCAAACCUUAAGUUAGCCUUAACAUUGUAAGUCAAACAAAAAUUGUGAUGCUACUGUGUUUAUAGCCAUUUGUGGAACAUUAUGUCAGCUGUCUUGUAAUGUUGUCAUUAUUGGUGUUGCAUUUGUUGGUCCAGUAUUAGGCAUAACCCCUGAUUCAUUGAAAAUGGGCUAGUAGCUUCAAUUAAUUGUCCAGCUGCCUUUUUGGCUUCUUGAGAGUUACUUAUGGGUGAUUAAUUGAUAAAUUGGCGGUGUUGCAUGCGUGCAUAUAUAUAUCGGUGAUUUAUGCAAGCGUACACAUGUUUUAUAAAUUGGCAUUAGGAUUGUGAUGAUUAAUUUUGGCUGCUGUUGCUUCUUGUUCUUCU